RNAcentral lists this ribosomal RNA (726 nucleotides) under uncultured bacterium. Its description in RNAcentral is "bacterial SSU rRNA". It matches the Rfam family "Bacterial small subunit ribosomal RNA", at positions 335 to 1073 of the family's 1533-position model. The record is from RNAcentral.
ACUCCUACGGGUGGCUGCAGCAAGGGAUCGUGCACAAUGGGCGAAAGCCUGAUGCCGCGACGCCGCGUGAGGGAUGACGGCUUUCGAGUUGUAAACCUCUUUUCUCAGGGAAGAGCGAGGACGUCACCUGAGGAAUAAGUCACGGCUAACUACGUGCCAGCAGCCGCGGUAAUACGUAGGUGGCAAGCGUUGUCCGGAAUUACUGGGCGUAAAGGGUCCGUAGGCGGUUUGGUAAGUCUUCUGUGAAAGCUCCAGGCUCAACUUGGAGUCGUCGGGGGAAACUGCUGAACUAGAGACUGUCAGAGGCAGGUGGAAUUCCCGGUGUAGUGGUGAAAUACGUAGAUAUCGGGAGGAACACCAGUGGCGAAAGCGGCCUGCUGGGGCAGUUCUGACGCUAAGGGACUAAAGCGUGGGGAGCGAACCGGAUUAGAUACCCGGGUAGUCCACGCCCUAAACGAUGAAUGCUAGGUCUUCGGGGUGUUAAUUCCCUGUGGGCCGAAGGUAACCCAUUAAGCAUUUCGCCUGGGGACUACGGCCGCAAGGCUAAAACUCAAAGGAAUUGACGGGUCCCCGCACAAGCAGCGGAGCGUGUGGUUUAAUUCGAUGGUAAGCGAAGAACCUUACCUAGGCUUGACAUGUUUGGUGGUACCGAACCGAAAGGGGAGGGACCCUUCGGGGAGCCUUACACAGGUGUUGCAUGGCCGUCGUCAGCUCGUGCCGUGAGAU